GUUUGUCAAUAUGUGUCUUCCAGCAGAGAAGAUUAUCAAUAUGAAUCCCUAAAUAUUUAUAUGAGGAUACCUGGGUGAUUUCAUGAUUUUUGACGACCACUGGCUCAUGGUCAGUCACUUUCCUCGGAUCCAAAACCAUUUCCUGUUCUUGGUCACAUUUAAAAUAAGAUGGUUGGUAUCACACCACCUAAUAAAUAGGUCUAUCUCGUCUUGGUACACAGAGGGGUCCGUAUCCUUGUGUAGAAGGCUUAGGAGCACGGUAUCGUCCGCAAAUUUCACCAUAUAAUUGUUAGGGUGCACAGUCCUACAAUCAUUGGUGUACAAUGUAAACAGUGUUGGUGAUACAACGCAACCCUGUGGGACGCCUGUGUUGCAGUGUUUGGUGUCUGACAGUGUUCUGUUGACCUUCACUUGCUGUGUUCUGUUUGUUAAAAAAGAGUGGAACCAUUUGAUCAAGGUGGAGUUUACACCCAUGUCUUUGAGCUUCUCCAAGAGUAUGUGAAUUUGCACUGUAUUAAAAGCUGAGCUGAAAUCAACAAAUAAAAUGCUAGCAUAAGCUUUUGUGUUCUCAAGGUGCUUGGAGAUAAAGUGCAAGGUGCAAAGGAUUGCAUCAUCAGUACUGCAUUCCUGCUUGUACGCAAACUGGUACACAUCUAACUUUGGCUUGACAUCCUUCAUGAGCAGUGACACAACAAAUUUUUCAAAACAUUUCAUAACAAUCGAAGUGAGAGCUACGGGACGAAAGUCGUUGUUUACUGUGACACCGGGCUUUUUAGGCACUGGAGUUAUAAUUGACUUCUUCCACAGAGCUGGAACAGUGUGAGUGUUAAGUGACUGUUGGAAUAUUGGACACCAUGCUGUAGUUAGUUCCUCUGCACAGCUUUUGAGCAAAAAAGCUGGGAGGCCGUCAGGGCCUGCGGCCUUGCCCGUACGUACUCUACUAAAGAGAUGGUCGGGUCGACUUCCAGGCAGCAGGUAUCAUCAGUGUCUGGCAGGGACUGCAAAAUACUGUCACACUCCUGAGAGAAGUUUUGAUGGUCGAAUCUCAAAUAAAAGUCAUUUAGCUCAUUUGAUUUUUGCUGCUCAUCCAGGGUGAUGAUUUGUUUCUUUGCAUGGUUCAUAUUAGUGACUGAUUUCAUUGUGUCCCAAAGUUUUUUUGUAUUUGACAUUUGGAGAUGAUGUUCCAUUGUUUGCCUAUGUUGCUCUCUUGCAUUAGUGAGAAGUUGUUUGAGUUCUUUUUGGACAACUGACAGUCCUGCUCUGUCUUUACUUCUAAAGGCCUGCUUUUUCCUAUUCAUGCAGUCUUUUAUUUCUUUUGUUACAUAGGGUUUGUUAUUGGGAUAUACUACAAUGUUUUUCUCGGGUACCACAUUGCCAACACAAAAAUCAAUGUAGUCCGUUAUAGUUACUGUAGCCUCAUCUAGUCCUAAUGCAUGGAACAGGGACCAGUCUGUGCACAUGAAACACCCCUUCAGUGUCUCAAUAGCAUCGUCUGACCACACAUUAAUUGUCUUAUGCUCAGGUUUAAUUGAUUUAAAAACAGAUUUAUAUGUGGGUAUUAGAUGUAUGGUGUUGUGAUCCGAGUUGGAAAGGGGGGGCUUUGGUUUUGCUGAAUAUCCCCCCUUUAUAUUGCCAUAGCAUUUAUCUAGAAUCUUGUCAUUUCUUGUGUCACAUUUUACAAAUUGUUCAAAGCCCGGCAAGGCAGUCUCCAGUUUACAAUGGUUAAAGUCACCCAAAAAGAAAACAGGAGCUCCAGGUGUGCGCUGCAGCUGUUCAUGUGCGCACUCUGCUAUGCUCGCAGCAGCUCUGCCUGCAUUGCCGCUGGGUGGGACAUAAACAGCGGCUAUGAUGAUGUUGCCAAACUCCCUAGGCAGGUAGUAAGGUCUCAUUGAUAAACACAGCAGUUCUACGUCGGGGCUGCAUAUGUUUUUUUUCACAUUGAGCUGUUUACACCACUUGUCACUCACGUACACGCCGACUCCGCCCCCUUUUCUCUUCCCGGAAGCGUCAGAGCGGUCAGCUCGUACGAGUGAGAAUCCAUCUAGGUCAAGCAGAGAAUCCGGGACGCCUUGGUGAAGCCACGUCUCGGUGAACACCAUGAUGUUGGUUUCCCGGUAUUCAAAGCAGCUCUUUAGGUUGACCCGAAGCUCAUCCAGCUUUGGUGCCAGCGAUCGCACGUUGCUGAGUAUUAUUGACGGCAGCGGUGGUCUGUUGAUUCGCCGGCGGAGGCGUUCUCGGACACCUCCCCGUCUGCCUCGCUUGCGUUGUGGCCGUGUGCCGGUGUGUGUCGCUCGGAUGACUGCCGGUAGAUGUUCCGGUGGUGUGGAUUGGCGUGGUGUGGGUCGGAGGGACAGUAAGGCAUCUCUGGAGUAGACGCGACAUCCAUGUUCCCAUUGCACGUUCGUUGCAAGACAAAAAAUUACGCGUUCGCUGAUAAAAAAGAGGAUCAGCAGUACGAUAUAAAAACUUGCUUCCAUUGUUAGGGCUCGUGCUACAAACAAUUGGUAGUUCAGACGGCCGAGUUCUUUGUAUGUCGAAUGUCAAUUUAUGCCGUGAUCAGUUUCACGUAAACCCACACAGCAGAAGACUGCUAUACGGAUCCGCCUUCAAGUCGCCCAACCCGCGUUACUGUCACAUUCGUUUUGGCUCCGCCUAGAGGAUACAGCUCCGCCUCUGAAAAUUGUACGGUCAGACAGCUGAUCCUGAGCGGACUCGUGUCUGAUUCGCAUACGCGGACGCGACAAAGUAAACCGGCGCGCGCCGCCUAGAGUUAUAGGCUCCGCCUACGCGCGCUGAGCCGACCAAUGUCUGCACCCGCAGACGUGGACGCGCCUACUAGCGUGUACGCGCAUGAGCCAAGAUCUCUGGACUUUCUUUGCUGGAACACGAACCGCCGCCUCCCAGAAUGCUUUGAAUGGGGACGUGCGUCUGAUGUCACGUAUCCAGAAAUUUCAUAAUGGCUGCACGCGGUAGGUGAGGCCCGAGCGAAGAAAAGUGGAAAAGAGUGUUAUUCGUCAAAAAACCCACACAACGACGGUCAUUUUUUCGCCGUGCUAUUGUAAAAUGGUCUUUUAUCUGUGUUUUGUGUUCCGGGGGACCCCGACUCCAGAAUGUGAAAGUUUCCCGCGUGAAGCCGUGGAGCUCGAGAUCCUGUUUACUGUGGACUAGCUGUGUGUGACGCCAUGUUGUUUUUGUUUCCAUUACAAAAAAAAAGCUCCACCGUCUCGCCGAGUGCCAGCAAGAGUCAUGACUACUUGUCAACUCGACUCCUCAACUGGAGAUAACUUUCUAG
Entelurus aequoreus (snake pipefish) is the source of this 3292-nucleotide long non-coding RNA. RefSeq lists it as uncharacterized. NCBI's taxonomy places the organism in Eukaryota, Metazoa, Chordata, Actinopteri, Syngnathiformes, Syngnathidae. The transcript has 4 exons. The record is from RefSeq and is a predicted model, not a curated record.